CCGGUAAUCCCAGCUACUUGGGAGGCUGAGACAGAAGAAUUGCUUGAACCCGGGAAGCAGAGGUUGUGUUCAAGCAAGUUUGCUGCUGUUGGAUUUCAUAAAACUUUGACAGAUGAACUGGCUGCCUUACAAAUAACUGGAGUCAAAACAACAUGUCUGUGUCCUAAUUUCGUAAACACUGGCUUCAUCAAAAAUCCAAGUACAAGUUUGGGACCCACUCUGGAACCUGAGGAAGUGGUAAACAGGCUGAUGCAUGGGAUUCUGACUGAGCAGAAAAUGAUUUUUAUUCCAUCUUCUAUAGCUUUUUUAACAACAUUGGAAAGGAUCCUUCCUGAGCGUUUCCUGGCAGUUUUAAAACGAAAAAUCAGUGUUAAGUUUGAUGCAGUUAUUGGAUAUAAAAUGAAAGCGCAAUAAGCACCUAGUUUUCUGAAAUCUGAUUUACCAGGUUUAGAUUGAUGUCAUCUAAUAGUGUCAGAAUUUUAAUGUUUGAACUUCUGUUUUUUCUAAUUAUCCCCAUUUCUUCGAUAUCAUUUUUGAGGCUUUGGCAGUCUUCAUUUACUACCACUUGUUCUUUAGCUAAAAGCUGAUUACAUAUGAUAUAAACAGAGAAAUACCUUUAGAGGUGACUUUAAGGAAAAUGA
This 641-nucleotide small RNA is filed under the name Pongo abelii (Sumatran orangutan). RNAcentral describes it as "processed transcript". The record is from RNAcentral. Lineage: Eukaryota; Metazoa; Chordata; Mammalia; Primates; Hominidae.